RNAcentral lists this ribosomal RNA (462 nucleotides) under uncultured bacterium. Its description in RNAcentral is "partial 16S ribosomal RNA". It matches the Rfam family "Bacterial small subunit ribosomal RNA", at positions 29 to 507 of the family's 1533-position model. The record is from RNAcentral.
AGUGAACGCUGGCGGCGUGCCUAAUACAUGCAAGUCGAACGAACGAAUAAGAGCUUGCUCUUAUAAGUUAGUGGCGCACGGGUGAGUAAUAUAUAGCUAAUCUGCCUCUUAGUAGAGGAUAACAGUCGGAAACGAUUGCUAAUACUCUAUACUUCUGCUUUACAUAAGUAAAGUAGAGAAAGUUUUUCGCUAAGAGAUGAGGCUAUACUGUAUCAGCUAGUUGGUAAGGUAACGGCUUACCAAGGCUAUGACGCAUAACUGGUCUGAGAGGAUGAUCAGUCACAUUGGAACUGAGACACGGUCCAAACUCCUACGGGAGGCAGCAGUAGGGAAGAUUGCGCAAUGGGGGAAACCCUGACGCAGCAACGCCGCGUGGAGGAUGACACCUUUCGGAGCGUAAACUCCUUUUAUCGGGAAAGAAUAAUGACGGUACCCGAUGAAUAAGCACCGGCUAACUCCGUG